This 253-nucleotide ribosomal RNA is filed under the name uncultured bacterium. RNAcentral describes it as "partial 16S ribosomal RNA". It matches the Rfam family "Bacterial small subunit ribosomal RNA", at positions 524 to 776 of the family's 1533-position model. The record is from RNAcentral.
UACGGAGGGGGCUAGCGUUGUUCGGAAUUACUGGGCGUAAAGCGCGUGUAGGCGGCCAGGUAGGUCUGCUGUGAAAACUCGAGGCUCAACCUCGAGACGUCGGCGGAAACCAUCUGGCUAGAGUCCGGAAGAGGAGAGUGGAAUUCCUGGUGUAGCGGUGAAAUGCGCAGAUAUCAGGAAGAACACCCGUGGCGAAGGCGGCUCUCUGGGACGGUACUGACGCUGAGACGCGAAAGCGUGGGGAGCGAACAGG